RNAcentral lists this ribosomal RNA (254 nucleotides) under uncultured bacterium. RNAcentral describes it as "partial 16S ribosomal RNA". It matches the Rfam family "Bacterial small subunit ribosomal RNA", at positions 524 to 776 of the family's 1533-position model. The record is from RNAcentral.
UACGGGGGGAGCAAGCGUUGUUCGGAUUUACUGGGCGUAAAGGGCGCGUAGGCGGCCACCGCAAGUCGACUGUGAAAUCUCCGGGCUUAACCCGGAACGGUCAGCCGAUACUGCGGGGCUAGAGUGCAGAAGGGGCAACUGGAAUUCUCGGUGUAGCGGUGAAAUGCGUAGAUAUCGAGAGGAACACCUGCGGCGAAGGCGGGUUGCUGGGCUGACACUGACGCUGAGGCGCGAAAGCCAGGGGAGCGAACGGG